Molecule: long non-coding RNA, 562 nt
Filed under: Homo sapiens (human)
Lineage: Eukaryota; Metazoa; Chordata; Mammalia; Primates; Hominidae
Description: HSALNT0345663
Source: RNAcentral
CUUUCUGCAACUCACCAGUGUUGGCCACUGUGAGGCCAUGGUAGAUGUGGGCAGGGAACUGGAGACUCCGGGCCCAGUGGGUUCAACCUCAUGAGGGAGUGGAGUUGAGAUGCUUUGGGGAUCAGUGACACAACCUCUUACUUGGCUUGGGGUGCAAACCUAGACUCCCUGUCACCCUGGCCUUCUCCUCUCCAAGAGAAGGAGAACUGUGGGCAUCGCAGUGGUGACACUUCAGUUAUCACAGGCUCAGCAGCCAAGUGAAAAGAUGAUGUUGGAAUUUCCUAGAUGAUUCCAUUCAUGGAUUGGCCAUGCAGCAGGUGGUUGAGCACCGUCAAGUACACCCCAGGUUCUCCCAGGCCUGGUUUCUCUUGGCUGAUUCCCUGACAUUAGGAAAUGUUUUCAGCAAAGCCUGUUCCUUAGGGAUCCCCUCCUAAAAGUCACGAUCUACCCAAGAAUCCACUGUGAAUCGACCAUCCGCCAGUUUCUCCAAACGUUUUAAAGAGCAAUUUGUAUUUUCAACCUGUCUCACCUCUUGGGGAUAAUGAAUUAGACGAGUUGACUA